RNAcentral lists this long non-coding RNA (916 nucleotides) under Panax ginseng (ginseng). RNAcentral's name for it is "long non-coding RNA (PGIN_LNC008638)". Lineage: Eukaryota; Viridiplantae; Streptophyta; Magnoliopsida; Apiales; Araliaceae. The record is from RNAcentral.
CCAUCAGCAUUUUAAUCAAAGAAUAUGUUAUGCAUUGAUGUCAAAUUACAAUUGCGAAUAGGAACUUACUAACACAUCGAAUUGGUAAAAAUUAAAAAUUAUAGGAGUGUCCCACCUAUUACACAUCACUAAAAGAGUUACCAAUAAUAUUUAUGCACGUAAUUGACAAUUAAAUAGUCGUCUAUGCUGACCACCUUUAGCGACGGACAAAACCGUUGUUAAACUCAUCGUCGUCAUAGGGUCUGAACUGUUGUGAUAGCUCUGAACCGUCACUAAAUAUGUUCAAAUAUGUGACCCAAUAAAGCCAGAUAUAUGUUCAAGACUCAGUUUUAUUAGGCCAGAACAAGCAUAAGAAGACUUUCUGUUAGGAAAUUUAGGAACCAAAGUUGGAGCCUAUGAAUUCUCAACAGCUUUCUACAGAAUAAAUUAACAGAUGAAUGACUUAAAUGAAGAAUGGGAUUGUUAAGCUGGUCAAGUUCCGACGACUAACAUGAUCGCUACUCUCUGCCUUUUCUUUCAAACUAGUCCAAGAUUUUCUUCUCCGCUUACUGGAUGCGACAACAGAUUUUUCUGCAUCCAGAACUGCUUUCGGAUUCAGCUGCUUUAUUGGAUUUUGAUCUACUCGACUACUCCUCGCCUCCAACAGAUCGCAAGUGGAAUUGCUGGACUGUUCGUGACUGGACCGUCUUUCAGUACAUCUGUCGAAACAACCUCAACAUUCUCCAUAGUGCUCAUCCCUGAAGCAGCCUCACCGUUCUUAUUAACCUCACCAUUAUCCAUAGCGUGUCUCACUGAGAUGAUAAGACUUUGAAAGUGUGCUUUUAGCAAGUUCUGAUUUCGAUAGUGCUGUAGUCUUUGGUGGAUAUAUAUAACUGACCUCUUGGCGUCCCUCUUACCAAAUUACGAUGUGAACAGA